Molecule: non-coding RNA, 917 nt
Organism: Macaca mulatta (Rhesus monkey)
Lineage: Eukaryota; Metazoa; Chordata; Mammalia; Primates; Cercopithecidae
Source: RefSeq, a predicted model, not a curated record
GCUCUGUUAUACCUUCUCUCUGUAAUAGACAAUUUUGUUUUGCAGUUGCAGAAGGCAGGAAACAAGGGUGUUUCUGUCGUGAGAGGAAUGGCAGCAGCAGGAGUGAGAACAACAACUGACAAAACAAGACACAGCUGGCACAGUCUGGUGGUUGAGGAUGAUGGAUAUGACCUUCACUGACUUGUCAAUGUCCCAAGUGUCAAACCUGGCCCCACCUCCGUGAAGUUCGUUCGCAUAAAAACAUUAACUGGAGCCAAUCUUCACAAUCUGGUGACUCAGAGUGUGGAACAAUGCAGCUGAGGCCUUGUCAAGCCCUACAUCAACAGUUGGCACAACUCCGCUUGUUACAACUUUUAGCCACAAACAGGACUUUCAUCCAUCUGUAACCUGGGAGUCAUGUGAGAUGAGUUCAUGGGAAGAAGGUGGACUGAGGAAGCCCAGUGAGUUGGCCACGGUGAGCUGGUAAAUGCUUAACAACUGGCUCUCCAAGGGAAAAACCAGUUUGUAGUGUGUGCCAAUUCCCGUGAUGUAAAUGCUCCCACCACAGUCAAUUUCAGACUAACCUCGUGAAGUCACUGAACCCACAGUUGGAAUGAGACGCACACAACCAGUUCUUCCACGCAGUCCACACCAGUUCCAGUACACAGCUGGCGAUGAGGUACCAUUUCAUUGCCAGACUUUCUGGCAACUCAGAAAGUCUGACGAUACCAGAUGUUUAAUAUCAAGAGGCAUUAAAAAGUGAAAUGUAAAACUGGUACAAUCACUUUGGAGAGCCAAAUGGCAUAAUCUGGUGUUGCACAUAUCCAAGAGUCUAAAAUUGUUUGCAGUUUUCCAUCAGGAUAUGUUAUAAACAGUGCUUAUUGCAGAAUUGUUGGUAAAAGCAAAAAAAAAGAGAAAGAAAGAAAAAAAGAAAGAAA